UAAAAUAUCUAAUUUUAUUCAAUCUUUUUAUUGCCUUGUCCUCCAAAACCAAGUGUAUUUAAAUAUUCCAGAAUAUUUCUUUCAUUGACUAUGGAAAACUUUGAUAUAAAGCUAUAUAAUUUUGGUUUUUGUUUAGUAUUAUUCUUCUAGAUAUGUUCUAGUUGUUAACUAGCCUGUUUUGUGACAUGAGUAAGUAGGAUUAUUAAGCAUGCUUGAGAAGUUAUAUAUAUAUAUUUAUAUAUUUAUAUAUUUAUAUAUAUUUAUAUAUAUUUAUAUAUAUAUUUAUAUAUAUUUUUAUAUAUAUUUAUAUAUAUUUAUAUAUAUAUUUAUAUAUAUUUAUAUAUAUUUAUAUAUAUAUUUAUAUAUAUUUACAUAUAUUUAUAUAUUUACAUAUAUUUAUAUAUAUUUAUAUAUAUUUAUAUAUGUUUAUAUAUAUUUAUAUAUGUAUUUAUAUAUAUAAAUAUAUAUAUGAGGGGGCUUCAAAAUAUUCAUGGAAACAUUGAGUUAAAAGCUACAAAUAAAAAAUAUAAAUUUUAUUUCUCAGAGUAAGCUCCAUCAGGGUCAAGACACUUUUGUAAGCAAUGAUACCAGACAUUUAUUCCAUCCCUAAAGAACAGGGUCUUGGGAAUUUCACCACAUCAGUGCCAUCUUUUUAACAUUAUUAACUGAAGAAAAAUGAGUGCUCUGACAGAUUUUUUUAAGAUUAGGAAACAAAAGUCCAAAUGAGCCAAAUCAGGACAGUAAGGUGGAUGCCUAGUGACAUUCCACUGAAACUCUGGCAAAAUUGCCCUUGUUUGAUGAGAAGAAUGAGCAGAAGCAUUGUCAUGGUGGAGAGGGAGUCUGGUAUAGCUUUCCUGGACAUUUUUCUGCUAAACCUUUGGCUAGCUUUCCCCAAACACUCUCAUAAUAAGUAGAUGUUAUCAUUCUUUGGCCUUUCAGAAAGUUAACAAGCAAAAAGACUUAAGCAUCCCAAAAAACUGUUGCCAUGACCUUAGCUCUUGACUGCUUGGCUUUUCUUUGACUGCACCACAUCCCCUUCUUGGUAGCCAUUACUUUGAUUGUGCUUUGUCUUCAGGAUCAUACCAGUAAAGCUGUGUUUCAUCUCCUAUCACAAUCCUUCAAAGAAAAGCUUUAAGACCUUGAUCUCACUUGUGUAAAAUUUCCACUGAAAGCUCUGCUCUUGUCUGCAGCUCAUCUGAGUGCAAUGAUUUUGGCACCUAUAGAGUGGAAAGUUUGCUCAACUUUAAUUUUGCAGUCAGAAUUGUGUAAGCUGAACCAGUUGGAAUGUCUGUGGCGUUGGCUAUGGUUUGUACUGUUAAUCAUCAGUACUCUUCAAUUAGGGCACAAACAAGAUUUUUUUUUUCCUUGCAAAUUGAUGUAGUUUGUCUUCUAUAGUGGGCUUCAUCUUCAACAUCAUCUCAUCUUUUCUUAAAAUAAAUUAUUCAUUUGUAAACUGCCAAUUUCUUUGGGGCAUUGCCCCCACUAACAUUUUGUAAAGCAGCAAUGAUUUCCUGAUUUUCCCACCCAAACUUCCCCAUAAAUUUGAUGUUCUUGCUUUAAUUUUAGCAGAAUUGACAUUGCUCUGAUAAGGGCUCUUUUCAAACUGAUUUCUUAUCCUUUUUUGUGCCUCAAAAUAGAUCCUGUUCAGACAUGUUACAAAUUAGUACAAGUUUAUUUUGAUAUAAGAAAAAAUUGAAAUCCAUGUAUAGUUUUUCCAUAAUAUGUAUUUUCCAUGAACUUUUUGAAAUUCUUCGUAUUUGCUGAGAUGAUAUUGCUAAGGAGUUAUAUAAUAUAAAAAGUUACAUGUUUGUGUGUUUAUAUAUGUUGCAUAUGUUAUAUAUAUUCAAAUUAUCAUUGUAUCUGAUACAAGUAAACAUAUUAAUUUGAACCUAACUCUAUUCAAGUUUGUAACUCUCUAAAUACUGGUAAGGAUGAUUUAUCUUUAUGUUAUGUUUAUAUAUUGGUUGCUAAGCAAACGCCAUAAAGACUUUAAAAGAACAGAUUACUUUUAAAUGUAAACAUCCAUUUAUAUUUGAAAAAAGACAUAAGCUUUAAUUGACAAGCUUUGUAAGCCUAAUUGUGUCAUUAAAAACUCAGUAGAAAUAAAGGUAUCAUAUGUACUUUAUUCAUUUAUG
This 2135-nucleotide long non-coding RNA is filed under the name Homo sapiens (human). Its description in RNAcentral is "long non-coding RNA NONHSAT209295.1". The record is from RNAcentral. Lineage: Eukaryota; Metazoa; Chordata; Mammalia; Primates; Hominidae.